This 215-nucleotide long non-coding RNA is filed under the name Felis catus (domestic cat). Its description in RNAcentral is "lncRNA (ENSFCAG00000053251.1)". The record is from RNAcentral. Lineage: Eukaryota; Metazoa; Chordata; Mammalia; Carnivora; Felidae.
AUGCCACCUGCCUCAUGCCUGGCACACAGGGGGUGCUGGACCUCGAAGGAAGGUUCAAGGAAGGUGGGAAGACAGGAGGGAGGCCAAGAGGGCCGCGUGAACCAUGCUGCUGGGGUGGCAUUCUCCACCACGACCCCCGCCAUAAGGUAUUUUCAAACACACCCACGCUCUUCUUUGGCCAGUGCACGGGGCUUAGCAGGGCCACCCUCCUGGGA